Amphiprion ocellaris (clown anemonefish) is the source of this 762-nucleotide long non-coding RNA. Lineage: Eukaryota; Metazoa; Chordata; Actinopteri; Pomacentridae. The record is from Ensembl.
AAAAAAAUGCCAUUUUUCAAACAUGUUGUAAAAACGUGCCAUAUGAUGAAAUAAUGUAAAGGAGGCCGUGAAAAACACUCCAGAAAGGUUUUCUUUGAAAAAAAAAUCAUCAUGAAUUUUGGCGCAAAAAAACGCCUUACUUUACUAUGUCGAAAAAAAAUGAGAUUUUUCAAACAUGUUGUAAAAACGUGCCAUAUGAUGAAAUAAUGUAAAGGAGGCCGUGAAAAACACUCCAGAAAGGUUUUCUUUGAAAAAAAAAUCAUCAUGAAUUUUGGCGCAAAAAAAACGCCUUACUAUACUAUGUCGAAAAAAAAUGAGAUUUUUCAAACAUGUUGUAAAAACGUGCCAUAUGAUGAAAUAAUGUAAAGGAGGCCGUGAAAAACACUCCAGAAAGGUUUUCUUUGAAAAAAAAAUCAUCAUGAAUUUUGGCGCAAAAAAAACGCCUUACUAUACUAUGUCGAAAAAAAAUGCAAAUUUUCAAACAUGUUGUAAAAACGUGCCAUAUGAUGAAAUAAUGUAAAGGAGGCCGUGAAAAACACUCCAGAAAGGUUUUCUUUGAAAAAAAAAAUCAUCAUGAAUUUUGGCGCAAAAAAAACGCCUUACUAUACUAUGUCGAAAAAAAAUGCAAAUUUUCAAACAUGUUGUAAAAACGUGCCAUAUGAUGAAAUAAUGUAAAGGAGGCCGUGAAAAACACUCCAGAAAGGUUUUCUUUGAAAAAAAAAUCAUCAUGAAUUUUGGCGCAAAAAAAACGCCUUACUAUAC